Long non-coding RNA from Perognathus longimembris pacificus (Pacific pocket mouse), 150 nucleotides. RefSeq lists it as uncharacterized. The transcript is spliced from 3 exons. Lineage: Eukaryota; Metazoa; Chordata; Mammalia; Rodentia; Heteromyidae. The record is from RefSeq and is a predicted model, not a curated record.
CUAAAUUAACAUGAUAUGUACUAAGUUGUUCCCAUUCCCUUUUGCUUUAGGCAUUUUUCAGACAAGGGUCUUGGGUUUUGGGCUAGUGCCAACCUUUGACCUUUGGAGACUUCUUUUGUAGCUAGAUUAUAGUCAGGAAUUACCAUGUCU